UACGGAGGGUGCAAGCGUUGUUCGGAAUUAUUGGGCGUAGAGCGCGCGCAGGCGGUCUGAAAAGUCUAUGGGUGAAAUACCGGGGCUCAACCCCGCGUAUGCCCAGGAUACUGUCAGACUGGAGACACGUAGAGGCAAGCGGAAUUUCGGGUGUAGCGGUGGAAUGCGUAGAUAUCCGAAAGAACACCGGAGGCGAAGGCGGCUUGCUGGGCGUGAUCUGACGCUGAGGCGCGAAAGCGUGGGGAGCGAACAGG
Molecule: ribosomal RNA, 254 nt
Filed under: uncultured bacterium
Lineage: Bacteria
Description: partial 16S ribosomal RNA
Rfam family: Bacterial small subunit ribosomal RNA
Source: RNAcentral